AAAUUUGGCCUGAAGGAGCUUGAGUCCAGUGAUACAUUCCUUUUACUGUGGUCAAAUAAGCCUUUGCAAAAAUACCAGGGAUUCAUGCAAACCAAAAGCAAAGGAUGGUUCAACUAUUUACAAGUGGAGCCCAUCCUGAAGAAACAUCACAGAGUCUCUACAGAGAAAAGACCCAAUGAAACUUGGAUGUGCUGCCCAUGAGUCUUCUGAGCAGAAACCUCUUGCUUUGGCGGCACCAUCCCCUUCUACUUCUUGGUAGGGCUGCAAAGCUGAUGCUUUGUAUGACCAGUUUCUGCAGGUCAUUGAAAUCAAAUCCCCUUCAACACUUCCACAGCUGCUCUUCAGAGAAGAACUGGAUUUUAAUCUGAAGAUGUGAGCAUUUCUGACAGUGCUGAUCCUGUCAUGGCAGUGACUGCUCAGGGAAAGGAAGCAAUAAAAGCGGUUAAAAGCAAAAGCAC
Long non-coding RNA from Pezoporus occidentalis (night parrot), 458 nucleotides. RefSeq lists it as uncharacterized. The transcript is spliced from 2 exons. Lineage: Eukaryota; Metazoa; Chordata; Aves; Psittaciformes; Psittacidae. The record is from RefSeq and is a predicted model, not a curated record.